RNAcentral lists this transfer RNA (77 nucleotides) under Parafrankia sp. EAN1pec. RNAcentral describes it as "Frankia sp. EAN1pec tRNA-Pro-GGG-1-1". It matches the Rfam family "tRNA". From Rfam's summary of the family: Transfer RNA (tRNA) molecules are approximately 80 nucleotides in length. Their secondary structure includes four short double-helical elements and three loops (D, anti-codon, and T loops). Lineage: Bacteria; Bacillati; Actinomycetota; Actinomycetes; Frankiales; Frankiaceae. The record is from RNAcentral. RNAcentral also lists the same sequence under 5 other names.
CGGGACGUGGCGCAGCUUGGUAGCGCACCAGACUGGGGGUCUGGGGGUCGCAGGUUCAAAUCCUGUCGUCCCGACAA